This 21-nucleotide non-coding RNA is filed under the name Caenorhabditis elegans. The record is from RNAcentral. Lineage: Eukaryota; Metazoa; Nematoda; Chromadorea; Rhabditida; Rhabditidae.
UUCUUUCUGUUCCUUGAGUGU